GGUAGGGAGAAAUGGAGCUGUAGAGCAGCCCGCCGCCCCGCGCAUGCGUGAUCUGGGUGUGGCGUCUAGACUGGGUGCUAGGUGUAAGGGGCGUGGCAAGAGGGCGGAUCUCGCGCUGGGGGAACAUAGGUGACUGGAGACAAGAGCUACAGGAUUCAUAUAACAGGAAGAUGUUGCCACCGUCAGGUUUUGCUGGGCUGGUUCCUCCCUCCCACUUCCAAGCUCGGCCCCUUCCAACUCUGCCAAGAAUGGCCCCGACCUGGGCUUCAGACGUUCCCUUGGUCCAAUCUCCGGCCAGCCAAGAUGUCUUAGAGAGACGGCUAGAUGCUCAGAGGUCGACAGUGACCACGUGGGGACAGGAUUUCUGUGGAGAUGGGCAGGGGCUAGGGCGGAGAGGCAGGGACAGAGAUGCCUCUGGAGCCUCCACAUAACCAAUUCAGAUAUGCAGACGCCUCAGACUCCCUGUGCAAUGUACCAAACACUCACGGAAAAAGCCCGCACCAAAAGAGCAGGGUGUAACAGUGAGUGCCUGUAAUCCCAGUUACGCCUGGGAAAGAGUCUUAGAGAAGACAGAUGCCAGCCUGCUGACAUAGUGCAAGGUAGGGAAGUCCCCUGGCAACUGAGAAAUCAGGAAGGGAAGUGGAAGACACCAUCGGGAAACGUCUCUGGAGCUGGGGUUCUCCAGUGCCCUGAGCCAGCAGGCCGAGCUGAUCUCACGGCAGCUCCAAGAGUUGCGGCGGCUGGAGGAGGAAGUCCGGUCCCUACGGGAGACCUCGCUGCAGCAGAAGAUGAGGUUGGAGACUCAGGCCGUGGAGCUGGAUGCUCUGGCAGUGGCAGAGAAGGCCGGCCAAGCUGAGGCCGAGGGCCUGCGCACCGCCUUGGCCGGAGCUGAAAUGGUUCGGAAGAACCUGGAAGAGGCGAAGCACAAGGAGCUGGAGGAGAUUCAGAGCCUGCACCAAGAGCAGCUGUCCUCCCUGACACAGGCUCACCAGAAGGCUCUCGACAGUCUGGCCAGCAAGGCCGAGGGCUUGGAGAAGUCUCUGAAUAGCCUGGAAACGAAACGGGCAGGGGAAGCCAAGCAGCUGGCUAUGGCCCAGAAGGAGGCGGACAUGCUCAGGAACCAGCUGAGCAAGACCCAAGAAGAGCUGGAAGCUCAGGUGACCUUGGUGGAGAGUCUGAGGAAGUAUGUGGGGGAACAAGUUCUUCCUGAGUUUCCUAGCCAGGAAUGGGAGCUGGAACGAAAGGAGCUUCUAGACACCUUGAAGCACUUGAAGGAGGAUCGGGCUGACCUUCAGGCCACCGUGGAGUUACUGCAGGUACGAGUACAGAGCCUCACACACAUGCUCGCCCUGCAGGAAGAGGAGCUGACCAGGAAGAUUCAGCCUUUAGAUCCCUUGGAACCCGAGUUUCCUAAGAAGUGCCGCUCGCUGCUGCGCAACUGGCGGGAGAAGGUAUUUGCCCUCAUGGUGCAGCUCAAAGCCCAGGACCUGCAGCACAGGGACUCCACGUCGCAGCUGAGGAUCCAGGUAGCAGAGCUCCAGGAGCAAGUGACCUCCCAAAGCCAGGAGCAGGCCAUCUUGCAGCGUGCCCUGCAAGACAAAACUGCACAGGUGGAGGUGGAGCGGAUGAGCACCAAGAGCCUGCAGAUGGAGCUGGAUCAGGCUCAGGAGGCCAGGCGGAGGCAGGAACAGCAGAUAGCCUCUGCUGAAGAGCAGUUGAAGUUCGUGGUCGGUGCUAUGAACAGCACUCAGGCCAAACUCCAAAGCACCAUGACCAGGAUGGAUCAGGCUGUAGCCCGGAUUCCCAGCCUCAGCAACCGACUCAGCUAUGCUGUCCGGAAGGUCCACACCAUUAAGGGUUUGAUGGCUCGAAAGGUGGCUCUUGCUCAGUUGCGCGUGGAGAGCUCUCCCCCAUCGGAAGCCGCACCCCCACUGGACACAGACCUGAGCGUUGAGCUGGAACAGCUACGGGAAGAACGGAACCGCCUGGAUGCAGAGCUGCAGCUGAGUGCCCACCUGAUCCAGCAGGAGGUGGGCCGGGCACGGGAGCAAGGGGAGGUCGAGCGCCGACGGUUGAUAGAGGUGGCCCAGCAGCUGGAGCAGGAGCUGCAGCGUGCCCAGGAAUCCCUGGCCAGCGUUGGGCAGCAGUUGGAGGCAGCACGUCGGGGCCAGCAGGAGAGCACGGAGGAAGCUGCCAGCCUCCGUCAGGAGCUGACACAGCAGCAGGAAAUCUACGGGCAAGCCCUGCAAGAGAAGGUGGCCGAGGUGGAAACUCGGCUUCGGGAACAGCUCUCAGACACAAAGAGGAGGCUGAACGAGGCCCGAAGGGAGCAGGCCAAGGCUGGUGAGAUGUGCCAGGAAGAAGGCAGCACUGAGACACAGGGCUGGUAACCCCUCCCCAGCCCACUUACCUUUUUUGGUUUUUUUGUUUUUGUUUUUUUGUUUGUUUGUUUGUUUGUUUUCGAGACAGGGUUUCUCUGUUUCUCCUGGUUGUCCUGGAACUCACUCUGUAGACCAGGCUGGCCUCGAACUCAGAAAUCCUCCUGCCUCUGCCUCCCGAGUGCUGGGAUUAAAGGCGUGCGCCACCACACCCGGCACACCUACCUUUUUUGAAGCUUUUUGUUGACAAGUGUAUGUAGCGAAGUAACGUAGGACUGACAUGAAUGAGUUCUUAUGCAGUGAACACACAGCAGCCAGCACCGGAUCAGGAACAACUCUGGCUCCAGGCCUGCAUCACUGCCCCUCAACGGACGCCACUGCUGUGUCCCCACUUCUGGCGACUGCCCUCCCCAGAAACUUAACACUUGGAUGAGUUAGAGGAGCAGGAUGAAUGUCCAUGUCUUCCCUGAGUAGAACACAGUCAACACCCCUGCUGGCUCGCCUGUGCUCCCAUGGUUACACGAGUAGGCAUUCGAGUUGUGUAAGUUGCAGCAGACAUGAUGGUUUAGCUGCACACCCCACAGCCAGAAAAUUAUCUAAUCGUGAUACCUAGCGUCGUAAGAACAUGAGCCCUAGCCACACAUGGUGGCACUUGCCUGUCACUCCAGCACUUGAAAAUAAGAGGCAGGAUAGAUUAGGGCUAGCCUGGACAACAUAGGGAAACCUGUCUCAAAACAACAUCAACAGGUCACAUGAGCACUAACUAUAGGAGAUGUGACUCCGGCGCCCCUGUCCACAUCUUGCCUAAGGAGCUUGCAUCAGGGAUGGAGAUAGUACUUAGGGCUCAGAGAGCUCAGGAUCCCAUGACAUCAGCCCACCCGUGGUGUGGAAGAGUCCCUGAGAGACAGAGUUGAGAGCUCAAGUCUCAUUUUGGGGCUCUGGGCUAACCCCCUCCCAUCUCCUUAGUGGUUUCCUUGCGCCAGAUCCAGCACAAAGCCACUCAGGAAAAGGAGCGCAACCAGGAGCUCAGGCGCCUGCAGGAUGAAGCCCGGAAGGAAGAGGGUCAGCGGCUGACGAGGCGUGUGCAGGAGCUGGAGAGGGACAAGAACCUGAUGCUGCAGCGCCUGUUAGCAGUGCUUCCCUCGGGAGUGAAUAAGAAGUGCAGCCCCCGGUCUGUGGAGUCCUCAUCCUCUGAGUCUCCGGCAGCUGCUUCGUGCAAGGAAUCUGUGAAAGGCUCCCUGACCGUCCUGCUUGAUAACCUGCAAGGCCUGAGCGAGGCCAUUUCCAGAGAUGAAGAUAUUUGUGUGGAAGAUAACCAGAACACCAAGAAAACCAAGAACCCUCCUUCAGAUCCACUGCUGAGCUAGAGCUGCCAGGGGGAAGAAUGAAGCCAGCCUGAAGCUGGACCCCCAGGAGGGUUGGGUCGGAGGAAAUGGGGUGGGGGCCAGCCUAGCCCUGCCCCCCAGCAAGCCUUGGAACCCCAGCUUCUACCAAAUUCAAACUCUGCAAUGAAUAAAGAUGGCAAUAGUGUUGCCUGGA
Molecule: RNA transcript, 3917 nt
Organism: Mus musculus (house mouse)
Lineage: Eukaryota; Metazoa; Chordata; Mammalia; Rodentia; Muridae
Gene: Cchcr1
Gene name: coiled-coil alpha-helical rod protein 1
Exons: 18
Source: RefSeq, marked validated